CUGCGAGUGAAGCGGGAAAAGCUCAAAUUUAAAAUCUGGUGGCCUUUGGUCAUCCGAGUUGUAAUUUAGAGAAGCGUCUUCCGCGCUGGACCAUGCACAAGUCUCCUGGAAUGGAGCGUCAUAGAGGGUGAGAAUCCCGUCUUUGGCAUGGAUGCACCAGGGCUUCUGUGAUGCGCUCUCGAAGAGUCGAGUUGUUUGGGAAUGCAGCUCAAAAUGGGUGGUGAACUCCAUCUAAAGCUAAAUAUUGGCGAGAGACCGAUAGCGAACAAGUACCGUGAGGGAAAGAUGAAAAGCACUUUGGAAAGAGAGUGAAACAGUACGUGAAAUUGUUGAAAGGGAAACGCUUGAAGUCAGUCGCGUCGACCGAGACUCAGCCUCGCCUUGGCUUGGUGUACUUCUCGGGCGACGGGUCAGCAUCAAUUUUGCCCCUCGGAUAAUGACAAGGGAAAGGUAGCACCUUUAUGGGUGUGUUAUAGUCUCCUGUCGCAUGCGAGGGUUGGGAUUGAGGAACUCAGCACGCGCCUUUUGGCGUCGGGGCUUCUGCCUACGUACGUGCUUAGGAUGCUGGCAUAAUGGCUUUAAACGACCCGUCUUGAAACACGGACCAAGGAGUCUAACAUGCCCGCGAGUGUUCGGGUGGAAAACCCGUGCGCGUAAUGAAAGUAAAAGUUGGGACCUCUGUCGUGGAGAGCACAGACGCCCGGACCAGACCUUCUGUGACGGAUCUGCGGUAGAGCGUGCAUGUUGGGACCCGAAAGAUGGUGAACUAUGCUUGAAUAGGGUGAAGCCAGAGGAAAACUCUGGUGGAGGCUCGUAGCGAUUCUGACGUGCAAA
Molecule: ribosomal RNA, 834 nt
Filed under: Russula adusta
Lineage: Eukaryota; Fungi; Basidiomycota; Agaricomycetes; Russulales; Russulaceae
Description: eukaryotic LSU rRNA
Rfam family: Eukaryotic large subunit ribosomal RNA
Source: RNAcentral